RNAcentral lists this ribosomal RNA (180 nucleotides) under uncultured Glomeromycotina. RNAcentral describes it as "partial small subunit ribosomal RNA". The stretch from base 93 to 180 matches the Rfam family "Eukaryotic small subunit ribosomal RNA", at positions 738 to 828 of the family's 1831-position model. Lineage: Eukaryota; Fungi; Glomeromycota. The record is from RNAcentral.
GUCCUGGCUGGGUGGUCUUGCCGCAAGGUUAGCACUGCUCUGGUCGGGACUUUCCUUCUGGGGAACCUGUGUGCGCUUAAUUGAGUGCGCAGGGGAUCCAGGACUUUUACUUUGAAAAAAUUAGAGUGUUUAAAGCAGGCUCACGCUUGAAUACAUUAGCAUGGAAUAAUAGAAUAGGAC